Long non-coding RNA from Gallus gallus (chicken), 1864 nucleotides. RefSeq lists it as uncharacterized. The record is from RefSeq and is a predicted model, not a curated record. The transcript is spliced from 3 exons. NCBI's taxonomy places the organism in Eukaryota, Metazoa, Chordata, Aves, Galliformes, Phasianidae.
GGGUAUACUUUUAGCAUCACCAGCUCUCCCUGUGGUGUAUUGACUCUUUCCUUCCUCACAGCCCCACUGGCUCAUUGUAGUAUGUGCCAGUUCAUGCCCUAACAUGCAUUGCUCUCUUCUGCCAUCUCCUGCUCUUGAAUGUCCUGCUGCCCAUCUUGCUUCUGGUGGUGCAGUUCAAACGCUAGUUGCUUUACUGCAGCAACUAGUUCUUCCCUGUGUUGAAAGCUCCAUAAUGAGCGUCUUGUAACUUGCAUACUUACAACAGGUAGAGCAUGUUUUGAUCAGGAAGAAUCUGAAAAUGGUUAAUUAGUACUGCAUAAGUCUCCUAUCCAGCCCUUUCACUUGGAAGCUACUGUUGUAACAAGACGACAACUCAGAACAAGAAAGAAAAACAAAUGGACGGUGCCAAAGAGAGGAGGGAUUUUCAAUGCCUUAGCCAGAGAUAAGACUGACCUAAACAUCAGUUGGUGAAGGAUUGGACAAAGACAAAAGCUGGACCAUUUGACAGGCAGACGUGAAGAGCUUGGGAUAUACAGAACCAUGUAAGGAACGCGUUAACCUGGGUGCUGUAGCCGCAUCUCCCAGCAAGAAACGUUGCCAUGUGUUUUAAACAACUUCUCUAAAGCUAGUGGGAAAAUGUAGCUUCAACAAAAGGUGGUGGACUUCUCAGCUGUGGAGGUAACGGGGAGACCUUUUAGUUUUUUGGCAAUAUUAAGGCCAGGAGCGAUUUCUGAUGUAAACCCAUACAAGCGGGAUUUUACUGAAACCGGCUUUAUUCUCUCAAUAGUCAGAGCUUUGCCAGCAUCUGGAGAAUCUGUCUUUGAGUGCUUGGGGAGGGAAGGAAUUUUUCUUCUGCAAGUGAGAGGAAUGGAUAAGCUUGCAACAGCACCUGCGUUAUCCGUUUCUCUGUGAGAUGAAAAACAGCCCUGCUGCAGCUGAACUGAGCUGGUGCUCCCGGCCAGCUGAUGGAAAGCUCGGCUGCUCUCAGUGGGUUGCUGGUGUUUGCUGGGUACCUCCUCAGCUCUGCCUGUGCAUGGGGCACGUUCUGGUAUACAUCUGGACGUGGGGGUUCGAGCUUUUACCCGAUCUGCUUCUGCCAGUGCUGUGGAAUUUUCCCCACAUUAGGCUGAGGUAAGAGACGUGGCAACGGGUGUGUGCUGAGAACCUCUGGGGCUGAGAAGAAUUCUGCCCUGGGUGGAUGGGGAGGCCAAGCCCAGGGGUUCAGCCUGCCCACAGCCCGGCGAGUCCCCAUGUGGGCUGGUGGGGACGUGGGGAGGCCGUCGGGAUGCUGCCGCACCAGGCUGCGGGCUGCCGGCCGUCUCUUUGUAGGGCAGGGGCAGCGGGCCCGUGAGCUGCCACCUGUUGUUAAUCUACCCCCGGCUAAUCCAUUCUGCACUGUGUCAGCAGUUCAAAAGGGCACUGUUAGUAUUUUUUGCCAACUUCAAUUAACGUGAGAUUUUGGAGGCCCCUCUGAUCGCAUUUCAUCUGUCAUGAGUCAGGAACAAAACAGACAGAUUCCAGUUGAGAGGAGAGAAGAGAAGGAGUUUAUUGCAAACCAAAACAACAACAACAGUGCUUGUACCUCCGUGGCCACGGGGCCUCGGGAGCGGGGGGCCUUCCCAGCAAUUGCACCCCUUUAAAAAACUGGAAAAAGAAAAAGUAGUGCCCAGAAAUCCCAGCCCUCCCCUCCCCCCAAACAAACAAACGAACAAACAAAAGAAAGGAAGCUGCAAGUGCAAUAACUUACUUUGAAAAAAACAUGGAAAGGACCAAGCUGCAAGUCUGUUUGUUCUUUUGUUUUUUUUUAAUGUUCCACUGUAAUGAACUGCUAAUACAUGGCUGCAUAGGCAUUAACAUUGCAUGG